UUUUCCUACGGGGGGCAGCAGUGAGGAAUAUUGGUCAAUGGGCUUACGCCUGAACCAGCCAAGUCGCGUGAGGGAAGACUGCCCUAUGGGUUGUAAACCUCUUUUGUCGGGGAGCAAAGCGAGUCACGUGUGACUCAUUGAGAGUACCCGAAGAAAAAGCAUCGGCUAACUCCGUGCCAGCAGCCGCGAUAAUACGGAGGAUGCGAGCGUUAUCCGGAUUUAUUGGGUUUAAAGGGUGCGUAGGCGGAAUGCCAAGUCAGCGGUAAAAUCGCGGGGCUCAACCUCGCUCCGCCGUUGAAACUGGC
RNAcentral lists this ribosomal RNA (305 nucleotides) under uncultured bacterium. Its description in RNAcentral is "bacterial SSU rRNA". It matches the Rfam family "Bacterial small subunit ribosomal RNA", at positions 334 to 637 of the family's 1533-position model. The record is from RNAcentral.